Molecule: long non-coding RNA, 3505 nt
Filed under: Canis lupus familiaris (dog)
Lineage: Eukaryota; Metazoa; Chordata; Mammalia; Carnivora; Canidae
Description: lncRNA (ENSCAFG00000052386.1)
Source: RNAcentral
UGACUUUCUGUCUAGACUGGCUCUAGUGAUGGAAACAUGUUCAUACACAGUCUAAUUCAAAUACAUAGGGGGAAGUUAGGAGUAAUGGAGACCUAGAGGAGAUGUUUAUAGUUUAUCUAGCUUUGAGUACCAGCAUUAGAUUUUUAUAAGACGAGCUUUAGAAAAGAUCGCUCAGCUACAGUGCAUGAAUAGUAAAUAACCCUGCUACACUGGGGAAAAAGGCACAUAAGAUCACCAGCCACUCCUGCUCCUCUCUAGGAGGAUUCAUCUACCUGAGGAAUGUCUACAGUUUUAUAUAGGCAAGAGGCUGAUAGGGCUGGUGUAGCUUAACAUUAGCCUUAUUCAGAAUGGUUCCAUUCCUACAGAAAAUGCAUCCUUUCAGUAGAUUCACACUCAGAAUAUUGUGGAUAGCUUUGAGUUCAUCACACCUGAGUUCAAAAUAAUCUGUGUCCAAUUUGGUGAAAAUUUUUAAGUGAAAGGUUACUUGUUGCGGGGGGAGGUUUUCAUUUGCUUGUUUAAUUCUCUGGAAAGGUGAUUUAAAGUUGCAGUUAUCAUACUAGACAAAGGAGCCAUUGAUUUAAGCUCCUUUGGGAGUUACAUUUGGGGAACUCUGUCUAUGUUGCAUAUUCAUAGUUUUCAUGGUGGCACAAGGAUAUCUUAAAGGUUAAAAAAAAAGGGUCUAGAUGUACUCCUUGAAUAUGUCUCGGUAUCGGGUUUUCUUUUUUUCAAAAUGAAAGUAUCUUCAGUUUUUUCUCAUAAAAAUAAUACAUGCUUAUUAAAUUUCUUUUAAAUCAACUAUCCUUUAAAGAUAAGUAUUUAAUUUUCAUUUAAGGCUCUUUGCUCUACAAACUCGAAUUUGAUGGGACUCAGCAGAGUAUAUUUGUCAGUUAAGUUUGUCUCAUUAUAAUCUUUGUGUAAAUUUAGACACACUGACCUCAAUGUUUAGCCCUGGCUUUGACCUGCUUCUAUUUAGUGUUUCCCUAUGCAUAUGGAUUGCUCCUUAAUUAAUAUAAAUCUAGACAUGGGGAUUAGCCGUUGCUGCAAGUUUUCUGUUAUAAAGUCUCUUGCUGUCCCUGCAACAAUAACCUCUAAUUUAUUGGUUUGGAAGUUGAUCUCAUUAUAAAACUGCUGUAUAUAUUAAUUUAUGAUGAAAGUUCUCUUCAAUUUACUUUUCAGAAAAUGUCACUUUGGGGUUUUCCUUUUUAGAAAUCACCAAUGAUCUCUUUUUUGUUUAGAGAAGCACUAAUAAGAAAAUGGGUGGUGUAGAUCAGUACUUACCAAUUUCUGCCUUCUCCCAAAACUGCCCUCUUCCUCCACUAAAAUCAAUUAAUGAGUGUCUUUCUUAGUUUAAAAUACUGCAAAUUGUAUUAGAGGUGUUUUUAUCCCAUGAAGUAUCUUCGGGUCUUUGGCAUCUGAUGCUGUUUAGGGGAUUGGGCAGAGCUGUUAAAGCUACAUGUUUCUUCUGUCGUUGUCAAUGGAAGGCUCUGAAAGCACAAAUAAAUUGAAAAGUGAAGCAGACUUUUGGCAUAAACAGACACCAUCCUUUCCUCACAUGGGAAUGUGUCUUUCACUCAGAUGUGUUUACCCAAGGAGUGAUUCAAGACUUUCUUUUCCUUACUUGAGGUAUUUCUGAAGAGUCAAAAACAUUUUGCCCAGUUUUUAAUUAACUUUUUCUUUAUUAUUUCUUAAAUGAAGAUCGUUAAAAGAUUAGAAAGAUUACAGUGGUGAAAGGGGGCUUAAAAGAUUAAUUUUUCUCAUUCUAGAAUAAAAAGGUUUUUUUUUUUUAAGAUAGGGAAAGAACUUUGCAAAAAUUGUGUAUUUCAGGUCAAAAGUCUUUCAUAGUCCCCUAAAUAAUCUCUCCCAGUGGGGUUUUUUUCCUUUCAUUGUUUACAGUUUAGGACCAGUAGUAAGUUUGUCACUCUUUAAAAUUAGUCCUCUUUCCUUCCAGAGUCACUUUUUUUUUUUUUUUGACCAUAGCAUUCUAUUAUUAUUUGGGUUUAUUUAUAGCUUCUAUCAGGAGAGACAUAAUUGUGUCAAGCUUUGCUAAGCAGUUUAGUUCCAAUGACAAGACUUAUUUUUCCUGUGCUUGUUGUCCAGCUGUUCUGUAGUCUCUUGCUCUCCACACAAAUAGAAAGGUUUCAGGUGUUACUCCCAGGUAGGCAUUUGCCACAGGUGUCUUUUCUAUCACUUAAAAUAUGUAAAAAGUGAUGAGAUUAUUAAAUAGCUGAUAUGGUUCUUGUAAUUCUCUUAGAUCCUCACUAUAUGCCACUUUUGAAGCUAAAUGCUAUUUCUUUGUUGGUUAAUUAAUUUUGCAAUUUAGACUUCUGUCUUCAUUUAGUCCAUAUCUAUAAUGUGGUGGUUUGUUAAUACAAUAGGUUUGUUAUUGGUAAAUCAAAGUAUUUUAAUAUUUAUUAUCAGUAACACCUGUGCCUGGUUUAUAAAUGACAUAGCAUGGACUUUAUGUAAGUUUUAAAAGUGAAUAUAUUCUUAAAAAGUGGUAACAGCAUAAAACACUAUAGAGGAUGUCGACUGCCUGUUGUGUACUCAGAAGGUCCCUCAGUCUAAAGGCCCUGGUGCUCUGAUCUCCUUUCUGUCUUGGUACGAUUCCCCACGUGGCUGUCACAUUCCCUUUUUCAGGUGACCUUUCAUGGAGUAUACCACCUUCUGAGACCACUGACACCACCCAUGCAGCACUGAGGAGCUCCUUCUGUGAUCACACUGACUUUUAAAGAAUCUUUAUGUACAGAGAAAUGGUUAAUGAAACUAUUCUGUAUUUUGUUAGUAGUUGUCUAAUGUCUUCAGGGACCAGGUGUGGAGACUGGAAGGAAUAGUGCUACUCUUCAGGUGAAGCAUUAGAUUUUUUUCCUGCUGACUGCAUAUAGAAAUAGCCAAAGUAGUGUGAACCACUGUUAUCUUGCUUACUUUCUCACAUCAGCUUGUUCAUUACUGCCUUCUACAGACUGCGUCUUUCACAAAUUCCAAUCGAAGAAGCAAUUAAGAGAAAGAGUGAACCACAAGAGGUCAUAUAGGAAGUAAUACAAUCCCACAUCAUUUUUUGAAAAAGAUAGGUACUAGAAUUUCUUAUAUAUAACUGUUUCCCGGCCUUUGUGACCCUGAAAUGCUUUCUUACUCAUCUUUGGCCUGUCCACAUUAGCCCAGGGAUUCUUUUGUGCUUUACUUCCUGUGGUUUGUAAUAUAAGAAUAACUGAUCAACUGUAUGUGUUUUUCAGAGUACAUACGUACAAACUCCAGCUUCACGCCAGGCUCUGAUUUGACUCCUCCCUCAAGUCUGCAGGGUAUCCUUAUCCUCCAUAAGAGUCACUGAGCUGGAUCUAAUGGCAAAGUGAAAUGGACCAGCACAUAUUUAUGUUCUUAGGCCAGAGCUUUGUGGUAUAUCUAUCCUUGGUUAGUCUUUCUCCUUUCUCCCUCUUCCUAUUAGCCAGUCUCUUCUCUUUUAUCAGUAUUUCCAGCCUCUCCUUUCUUUCACCCAGAGAAAUGUUUUUUU